GCAUCGGUGGUUUAGUGGUAAAAUUAGCCGUUGCCAUUCGAACGUUGCCUCCAGCAGCUUCGCAAUGAUCGGCUAGCCCCGGGUUCGAUUCCCGGCCGAUGCA
RNAcentral lists this transfer RNA (103 nucleotides) under Corynespora cassiicola Philippines. It matches the Rfam family "tRNA". From Rfam's summary of the family: Transfer RNA (tRNA) molecules are approximately 80 nucleotides in length. The record is from Rfam by way of RNAcentral. Lineage: Eukaryota; Fungi; Ascomycota; Dothideomycetes; Pleosporales; Corynesporascaceae.